UUAAGCUUACUAGAAAAAUGUGAUUUGCCGGAAGACAGUCGGAAUUACGUUAUACUAAUCAGCCUCAAUGCCAUCCUAAAGCCACAAUUAAUUAAAAAAAUAAAGGAAGUUUAUAGACCAUCCAUAUUGGAUGCGCAAAAUUGUUUUACAUACUCUUUAACCGAUAAAAGUUACAUUCAAACAUUUUUAGAAAAGAGAAAGAAGGAAUUUGAGGUGCAGCAAUGGAGGCUCCAACCAACUA
Onthophagus taurus is the source of this 241-nucleotide non-coding RNA. The record is from RefSeq and is a predicted model, not a curated record. Lineage: Eukaryota; Metazoa; Arthropoda; Insecta; Coleoptera; Scarabaeidae.